This 240-nucleotide ribosomal RNA is filed under the name uncultured Geobacter sp. RNAcentral describes it as "partial 16S ribosomal RNA". It matches the Rfam family "Bacterial small subunit ribosomal RNA", at positions 553 to 792 of the family's 1533-position model. Lineage: Bacteria; Pseudomonadati; Thermodesulfobacteriota; Desulfuromonadia; Geobacterales; Geobacteraceae. The record is from RNAcentral.
AUUGGGCGUAAAGCGCGUGUAGGCGGUUUGUUAAGUCUGAUGUGAAAGCCCCGGGCUCAACCUGGGAAGUGCAUUGGAUACUGGCAGACUUGAAUACGGGAGAGGGCAGUGGAAUUCCUGGUGUAGGAGUGAAAUCCGUAGAUAUCAGGAGGAACACCGGUGGCGAAGGCGGCUGCCUGGACCGAUAUUGACGCUGAGACGCGAAAGCGUGGGUAGCAAACAGGAUUAGAUACCCUGGUA